AGGGAAUUUUCCGCAAUGGGCGCAAGCCUGACGGAGCAACGCCGCGUGAGUGAAGACGGCCUUCGGGUUGUAAAACUCUGUUCUUGGGGAAGAACAAAAUGACGGUACCCAAGGAGAAAGCCCCGGCUAACUACGUGCCAGCAGCCGCGGUAAUACGUAGGGGGCAAGCGUUAUCCGGAUUUAUUGGGCGUAAAGCGCGCGCAGGCGGUCAGGUAAGUCGGAUGUGAAAGGCUACGGCUCAACCGUAGAGCGGCAUCCGAAACUGCUUGACUUGAGUGCAGGAGAGGAGAGUGGAAUUCCCGGUGUAGCGGUGGAAUGCGUAGAGAUCGGGAGGAACACCAGUGGCGAAGGCGACUCUCUGGACUGUAACUGACGCUGAGGCGCGAAAGCGUGGGGAGCAAAC
This 403-nucleotide ribosomal RNA is filed under the name uncultured bacterium. Its description in RNAcentral is "bacterial SSU rRNA". It matches the Rfam family "Bacterial small subunit ribosomal RNA", at positions 356 to 773 of the family's 1533-position model. The record is from RNAcentral.